Molecule: ribosomal RNA, 395 nt
Filed under: uncultured bacterium
Lineage: Bacteria
Description: partial 16S ribosomal RNA
Rfam family: Bacterial small subunit ribosomal RNA
Source: RNAcentral
CCUACGGGUGGCAGCAGUGAGGAAUAUUGGUCAAUGGACGAGAGUCUGAACCAGCCAAGUCGCGUGAAGGAUGACUGCCCUAUGGGUUGUAAACUUCUUUUAUCAAGGAAUAAAACGCGGCACGUGUGCCGUUUUGCAUGUACUUUAUGAAUAAGCAUCGGCUAACUCCGUGCCAGCAGCCGCGGUAAUACGGAGGAUCCGAGCGUUAUCCGGAUUUAUUGGGUUUAUAGGGAGCGUAGGUGGGUUGUUAAGUCAGUUGUGAAAGUUCGGGGCUCAACCGUCGAAGGGCAAUUGAUACUGGCAGUCUUGAGUACAGUUGAGGUACGCGGAAUGCGUGGUGUAGCGGUGAAAUGCUUAGAUAUCACGAAGAACCCCGAUUGCGAAGGCAGCUUACU